This 1348-nucleotide ribosomal RNA is filed under the name Salmonella enterica subsp. enterica serovar Tennessee. RNAcentral describes it as "bacterial LSU rRNA". It matches the Rfam family "Bacterial large subunit ribosomal RNA", at positions 1 to 1378 of the family's 2925-position model. Lineage: Bacteria; Pseudomonadati; Pseudomonadota; Gammaproteobacteria; Enterobacterales; Enterobacteriaceae. The record is from RNAcentral.
GGGUUGUGAGGUUAAGCGACUAAGCGUACACGGUGGAUGCCCUGGCAGUCAGAGGCGAUGAAGGACGUGCUAAUCUGCGAUAAGCGCCGGUAAGGUGAUAUGAACCGUUAUAACCGGCGAUUUCCGAAUGGGGAAACCCAGUGUGAUUCGUCACACUAUCAUUAACUGAAUCCAUAGGUUAAUGAGGCGAACCGGGGGAACUGAAACAUCUAAGUACCCCGAGGAAAAGAAAUCAACCGAGAUUCCCCCAGUAGCGGCGAGCGAACGGGGAGGAGCCCAGAGCCUGAAUCAGCAUGUGUGUUAGUGGAAGCGUCUGGAAAGGCGCGCGAUACAGGGUGACAGCCCCGUACACAAAAGCGCAUGUGCUGUGAGCUCGAUGAGUAGGGCGGGACACGUGGUAUCCUGUCUGAAUAUGGGGGGACCAUCCUCCAAGGCUAAAUACUCCUGACUGACCGAUAGUGAACCAGUACCGUGAGGGAAAGGCGAAAAGAACCCCGGCGAGGGGAGUGAAAAAGAACCUGAAACCGUGUACGUACAAGCAGUGGGAGCACAGGUUUACCUGUGUGACUGCGUACCUUUUGUAUAAUGGGUCAGCGACUUAUAUUCUGUAGCAAGGUUAACCGAAUAGGGGAGCCGCAGGGAAACCGAGUCUUAACCGGGCGUUAAGUUGCAGGGUAUAGACCCGAAACCCGGUGAUCUAGCCAUGGGCAGGUUGAAGGUUGGGUAACACUAACUGGAGGACCGAACCGACUAAUGUUGAAAAAUUAGCGGAUGACCUGUGGCUGGGGGUGAAAGGCCAAUCAAACCGGGAGAUAGCUGGUUCUCCCCGAAAGCUAUUUAGGUAGCGCCUCGUGAAUUCAUCUCCGGGGGUAGAGCACUGUUUCGGCUAGGGGGCCAUCCCGGCUUACCAACCCGAUGCAAACUGCGAAUACCGGAGAAUGUUAUCACGGGAGACACACGGCGGGUGCUAACGUCCGUCGUGAAGAGGGAAACAACCCAGACCGCCAGCUAAGGUCCCAAAGUCAUGGUUAAGUGGGAAACGAUGUGGGAAGGCCCAGACAGCCAGGAUGUUGGCUUAGAAGCAGCCAUCAUUUAAAGAAAGCGUAAUAGCUCACUGGUCGAGUCGGCCUGCGCGGAAGAUGUAACGGGGCUAAACCAUGCACCGAAGCUGCGGCAGCGACACUGUGUGUUGUUGGGUAGGGGAGCGUUCUGUAAGCCUGUGAAGGUGGCCUGUGAGGGUUGCUGGAGGUAUCAGAAGUGCGAAUGCUGACAUAAGUAACGAUAAAGCGGGUGAAAAGCCCGCUCGCCGGAAGACCAAGGGUUCCUGUCCAACGUUAAUCGGGGCAGG